RNAcentral lists this long non-coding RNA (358 nucleotides) under Sorghum bicolor (sorghum). RNAcentral's name for it is "long non-coding RNA (SBIC_LNC016582)". Lineage: Eukaryota; Viridiplantae; Streptophyta; Magnoliopsida; Poales; Poaceae. The record is from RNAcentral.
UAUAAAAGUAGAGCUGGUUGACUCGACAUUUUUGCCAAAAGCCUUUAUUAAGACUAACACAAAGUAAGAGCAUCAUAUUUAUUUAUCAUCAGCCUACCACUAGAUUAGCACCUGUACUACAACACAUCACUUGAUUAUUACAAGCAAUAAUAACCAUAUCAGGUUCAUCAUCUGUUCUUCUUGCUAUCAUCAUUCUCAUGAACCAAGUUCAUUAGUGAAUGCUACGUUUGCCGCUGCUCUGUCAAGUUCUCACUGACCGGGAGAGACGGCGAUUCGAAUCGAAUUCCUAUCCAGCUGGAGGGUUAUUCCUAGCACUCACCCAAGCAUCCCCCGUCGAAGAGCCAACGGGUCACCUUUG